GAUGAUGGUGCUUUUGGUCCGACUGGUUUGACGACCAUUUUGGUGACGGUUCGGUUUUGGGUUCGGAUUAACUCGGGUUUCGGUUCGGUUCGAGGGUAGUUCGGUCAAACCUGGUCAACACAGUGAGCUGACUUGGUCAACUCAACCGGUCAACUCAGUUGACCCGGUCAACUCAGCCACCUUCUUUUUCGGCGUUUCGACAUGAAGAUUCGGAAUACUAUAGUUGCACGCUAGCGAUUCACGUUCUUGGAACGGCACUACGGAAACACGCUAGGCUAGCUU
Molecule: long non-coding RNA, 282 nt
Filed under: Helianthus annuus (common sunflower)
Lineage: Eukaryota; Viridiplantae; Streptophyta; Magnoliopsida; Asterales; Asteraceae
Description: sRNA HanXRQr2_Chr13g0572961
Source: RNAcentral